This 2244-nucleotide long non-coding RNA is filed under the name Xyrichtys novacula (pearly razorfish). Lineage: Eukaryota; Metazoa; Chordata; Actinopteri; Labriformes; Labridae. The record is from RNAcentral.
CAUGGCUAGAGAGCUAAACUUGCUUUUAUCAUCUUUUUUAUUAGAUUUUUUUUUUUUUUUUUUUUUUACCCUGGAUUUAAUAUUUACAGUAAGCUUUGCAGAACUGCUCAGCUUUUGUGUUCUUUCACUCUGAAGCUACAAAAUGAUGUGGAGUUUUCUGGCAUAAACAGAUGUCAGCAUGUGAUCACUUAAUAAAGCUUGCAUUAUGUUGACUGUUUAAUAAUCACCGCUCUUAAAAGGUUAACCGCCCUGAGCCAUGGUAGUGAUACUGACACAACAGAAAUGUGAGAGUAAAACCAGAAAUGGUUUAGGUCACAAGAUUGGUCUAGAAAAAGUAGGCUUUCAGUUGUUAUUUCAUCAGUUGCCUGUGGAAAUCUCCGGUCCUCCAAAGUAAAGCCAAUGAAGAAACUGCAGUUCCUCAAGUGUCCACUUGGGGCUGGCUGUGAAAGCUUUCAAAGCCACAUACACAUUCAUUCUAAGAAGUCCUUUGGUCUAAAUAGCUCAUUUCUGUACAUUUAAGGAGAUAAAGUUUCUCUUUUUUUUCACCAAUACAUUUUUAAGUUAUUAGGGUUAAGAUUUUUGAUGAUUUUAUGUAAGUUGACAGUUUUUAUUUGAUAAUCUUAUGGAGUCAAGUGCUGCUUUGCCCUUGUCUUGUCUUUCUUCAGUUUAGCUGGUUAUGUUCUUGAGUUUUCCAUAAAUAUGGUAAAAAUAUUAUUAUCAUGAUAUUUUAUGGCUCCAAUAAUCAUGAGGUGACAAUCUGAUUUCCUUACAGCUCCGGUUGAGUUUGGAUUUUCCAAUAUGGCACCACACCAUUAUAUGAUGUGUAUUUUGACUUUAGUAUUUACCCUUGCAUAAUUUCUCCUGUUUGUAUUUCUGCUGCUUGGUUUCAAUAUGAUAUAUUGACCUUCUCAAAUUGGCUUAACCCUGAUUUUGAAUGGUCACUGAAUGUUUUACUUUCAAAUCAUAAAAAUUGGGACUGAGAUACAUCAUUAGAGGUAUUCUGUCAUUUUGGGGGAGUUUUUGGUGAAAGCCGAGCUCAGCAUGUGAUCAAAGGAUAAAGCAGUCAUUAUUUUGUCAUUUUAAUAAGCAUCACUCUGUCCAAAGCUCAUAAUUGACCGAAAAACACAACAACCUUAUCCUGCAUGUACUGUCUGUGUUAGCUGCAGCCUGAUUGAUGGUUUUUGGCAGCACGGUGGACACGGUGUCAUCUCUGAUGACGCAACAGCUGAGGGGAAUGAACUGAAGCUCUUGUAAAAUAAUGAAGGCAUGAAGGAAUGCUGCUCAUUUAUUCCUUUCAGUCCUUUAUCAUGUUGAUGCCACACAACAACACGUGAUCUGCAGCCAGAAGCUGGAUUUUCCAACCUUUGAAUUAUGUCUGUCACUAAUUCAGAAAGAGUUAUAAAUCCAAGGGAAUAAAAAUAUAAUACAAGGAAAAAUCAGUUAGUGAGGACUGUAGGAAGUUUAUUUUAUGGAGCCUUAUCAGAGAGGGAUCAUCUUUACUUUAAACAAGGCUCUCACAUACACUGAAGUCUUUAUAUUUUUUACAUUAAUUCAUCAACUGUUCUCAAGAUUUUGAGAACUAAAGCAGGAUAUCUAGAGUCUAAAUUGUUUCAUAUUGAUUCAAUAUUUUUAAAGAAAGUAUUAAGAUAAAACUCCUGUUCUUAUCUCCCAGACAGAAUAAAUGAUUAAACACGGACAAAUUUUUUGUCUGCGAGUGGAAAUAAAAUGUUAAAGCUCCUUUAAGAAGUCUUUGGACCGAUUAUCAAACAGUGAUGCCUCUUCAAGUAAAAGCAUUUAUAACAAAACUGACAGUUUCCAUGUUGGAUUUUUUUGCUCCUAUAAACCUUGUGAGGGUGUUGGUGUCAGAUAUGUCGACUAUAUCAUCCUCUGAAAACAGCUUUUUCUACAUUUUCCACAUCAAGUAUUUAUAGUGACAGAUGUAUCUGACUAUUAAAGAGAUAAUCAGUGAUGCUCACCUUACAUGUUGGUGGUAAUAUUGAGGGUGAUGUGUAGGAAUGUAAAAAGAUAUCUGUGGCCUUCUGCUUAAGGGUCAUGCAUCCUCAUACAUUAAAGUGCUGUAUGCAUUGUGUCUUUAUAGACAAACACAGUUUCUGUCAAUAUAACAGGAAUUUUGUUGUAUCAACUGACUUUAUCACACUAACAUCGGUGGAUAUCCAUUAGAAAUUGUCCUUCCAUAUCAACACGAACAAGAGGACGCAUGAAACUUUGGAGAACUCGUAAAAG